AGAGGUAAGAGGUACUACGAGGGUAGGAGUGAAAUCUUGUAAUCCCUGUGGGACCACCUGUGGCGAAGGCGUCUUACCAGAACGGGUUCGACGGUGAGGGACGAAAGCUGGGGGCACGAACCGGAUUAGAUACCCGGGUAGUCCCAGCCGUAAACGAUGCUCGCUAGGUGUCAGGCAUGGCGCGACCGUGUCUGGUGCCGCAGGGAAGCCGUGAAGCGAGCCACCUGGGAAGUACGGCCGCAAGGCUGAAACUUAAAGGAAUUGGCGGGGGAGCACAACAACGGGUGGAGCCCUGCGGUUUAAUUGGACUCAACGCCGGACAACUCACCGGGGGCGACAGCAAUAUGUAGGCCAAGCUGAAGACUUUGCCUGAAUCGCUGAGGAGUGGUGCAUGG
Molecule: ribosomal RNA, 395 nt
Filed under: uncultured archaeon
Lineage: Archaea
Description: bacterial SSU rRNA
Rfam family: Archaeal small subunit ribosomal RNA
Source: RNAcentral